UCAUCUGUGUUUGAAAGUGGAAAGACACCGCCUCGAUUCUUCCACGUGGCUUUGUCUUGAAAGUGCACUGUCGUUUACAUUUGGCGGCAAGCAUCAGGCUAGAAGUGGAGCCCGACUUCUCAAAUCAAUUAAAUCGGCGGUUCAUUCCUCUGAUUCGGAGCUCCGACUUGCUGCCCAUACCCUCAUGAAACGUGACAACUCUCAGGUUUUUAGUUUCCCUUUACUUUGCUUGCUUCAUCUGAUUAACGACCAUCAUCAGAGACAACUUCAACAUCGCAGGUAAACCCUAUUCACUAUAUUGUUGCAUCCCAGAACUCCAUCUGGAAAUUCUUUUUUUAUGGCCGUUAAUAACGUCUUGCUGGAUAAUUUAUUUUCCCUAAUUACGUAUACAAUCAAGCUUCCAUUUUUAACUGGUUGUUUUGUUGUAAUUCUAGCCACAAUCAAUUUGUAGCAAUUUAUUACCUGUAUCCCUGUUAUAGUUUGAAUGCCAUGGUUUCUCUUACUGCUUGUCUUUUUACUUUAAUUCAUUCAUUAUUAUUACUUUGACAUUUUCAUUGCUAUAGUUAGUUGCACAAAUCAAUCCACGUGUCCUAUAAACCACUAAACAAAUUCAACUGUAACUUUUGAGGGUAAAAAGUUUAGCGCCCAUCAAGGCUAAGGAUAAUUGUGGUAGUGUUUUGUUACUUUCAGUUCAUCUCUAAUCAUUCUAAGAUUGUGAAAUCAGGUAAAAAUUUGGAAAAAUAUGACGACGCCAAUAACGAUGAGUUGUUGAACAACAUUCUCAUUCAGGAAGCCGAUCCGUUUACCGGGGAAACUCAAACAAGGAAUAAGCAUUAAAUAAAUAAUCGCUUUUGUCCUGAAUUGAAUAUGUUUUUGAUUAGUUCCCACAUGGUAUGAUUUCCCUGUAUUGUUUAUCCAAAAUUUUGACUUCUAUACAAUUAAGAAAGAAUCCUUGGAGCAAUUCUUAGAUAGAAAGCACUAGCUCAUGGUUCAACUCCAUAAAAACCUAUUAAAAAAAAAAAACCGAAGAUAAUGAAGCACACAUAGUGGUUAUUAUGGCCCAUUAUAUAUCUGAGUUUGGUUAUUGACAAGUUGUUCUGUGUCUUUGACAACAAAUUAGUUCCAAUUGGCAACAAGAUUAAGAAAUUGUAGAUCAUGCUUACACGAGACUAACUACGAAAGUGCUAAAGUGUAAGAUGAUUACUGAUUCCCCCGACUUGCCCUAUUAGUCGCAGUUAUUUGUUCUUAUAGUAGGAACUCCUUACAGUGCCUCACCGUUGUUUUCCAUAUUCGCACUCUUCAGUAUUUAACCGAGGCAUCUCAUGGCGAGCCCCAGAAAAAAUUCUUUUUCUGAUUGGUCAAAUUUAUUCAGGACAUUUAUUGGUCGGUAUGUAAUUUUAACAGGUUGCUGACCUCAAUCGCAAUUGCAGGUGAGCAAAGAGGCAGAGAAAUGCUUUAGCUAUAUGUUCAUCUGAAGUUCUCUAAAAUUUGAAACCGUAGAUCUUGUCAUUUUUUCAUACACAUCUGAUUUCAAUUUAUCAUUUUCAGAUUAACCGAGUGCAUUAUGCUGGGUGCUAACUAAUUCAAUGUAAAUUAUCUAUUGUCUGUGGUCUUUUGUUAUUGAAAAAAUGACUACCGUAUAUUAAUUACUGUUUCAGGUUAAUGAGAGGAAAAAAUAACUGAACUCGCUGACGAUACAAAUUGUACCCUUGGGAUACUUCAAAAUUCAUUUUAAAGACUUAACAACAAAUAGUAUAGUCAAUCAGGCUUUAAGUAAUCUAUAGAUUCCCAGCUUCUUGUUGAGUCGAUGCUGAAGUUCAUCUAUCGGAUCUUGAUAGUAACCUCUAAACAACAUAAGUUUUAAACUAAGACUGAUUUCUUUUUUCCCUUGCAUUUAAUCCUCAUAUUGGUCCACUUCGUUCUCCUAUCAGCAGUUCAGAGUUCAGUAAGUAUUGUUAAUCUAUUGGCUUGCGUUUUUCUCUUAGCUACUUUGUAACGAGAGAGUUAGACAUCCCAAGUUGAUCCUCAUCUGUUGGAUGUUAAUUACUUUAUUCUUUUGAGGUCUUCUUAGUCACAUUUGGAGGCACUUACAAUAUAAGGUAAGUAUUAUGUUCUGUCUAAUUUUCUUGUUUAGGUAUAAACAUUUAUGCUUAUUUGAAUUGUUUUUGUUUGUGGUAUAUGCUAAUAAGAUUCUACUUACAUUUUGUUUAUGCAUAUCAAAUAAUGUUUUUUCGUAAAUUGAUUUUAGUAGAAUUCAUCAGUUCACUCCUUAAUUGAAGCCAGAUUUCUACAGCUCGGACAAAAGGACAUUCAUCUUUAAAUUGUGUUUAUUCUCUUUAUUGGAAGAAGGUAUGUUUCCUUAAAAGCUAUUCGUGUACCACCGGUAUGCAAUUUUUUUAUGUGGAUUUUGCUGUAUACACUUUAUUCUUGACCAAAAUGGUCAUCUUAAGGCUGCUCAAGUGCUCAUUUGUUGAUGGUGCAUUUAAAUAUCAUUCACUCUACGAGUUACGUCAAAUAGUUGUAUUCCAGCAUUGGUUGCUUUCCAAAAUCUAGAUGAGUUCUUAUCCAGAUGACAUUCUCCUUAUGUACUCUCUUAUCAUUGUUAUUGACUCAACCUAGAGCAUGUUGUCCGAUAAGGAAACAGAUGAGCUGUGAGAUGAGGGACUUUUACCUGCAGCUGAACCAUUUGCAAAACUAUGUAACAGAGUUUUCUGGUGUUGUUUUGUGCAUUUGAUCACUUCAGAACAAGAUUGGAGGAGGACUUGGGCAAGUUUACAAGCUUCAAUGUGGAGAAACCAGAACUUGCUGUUACACUGUGUGUUAGUAGAGCACGUAAAAGAGCUGCCAACGUUGGAAAUGACUAUCACCGCAACUUACUCUCUAGCAUUUGCUAGAAAGUCCUUCAACUGCUGGGCAGAAUUAUCAAAGCAUUCACAAUAAGCUGGUUCUUGCUUAUGAAGAAUGAUAAAUACAAUAUAAGAGUAUAAGAUAGUUCUGGAAACGAUUGACAUUUGUUUUAUUUUAUUACAAACAAAGCUGUUAAGUACAUUUUCUUCUGCUAAAUUUUAUGCUCUUUAGGCCGACGUCUAUCUGCGGAAAUGAAAUAUGUUGUAAACCAAAGUGUUGGGCCCGAGCAAGCAUCUAGUAAUGACACAUGAUGAAUUGUGACUUGAUGGAGCUCACGUGGUCAGAGACCUAAACUUCUGCUUGGUUUGUAGAAUAUAAAGGGGAGUGCGUGGUUUGUUAUUAUAUUUA
Long non-coding RNA from Lycium barbarum (goji berry), 3255 nucleotides. RefSeq lists it as uncharacterized. NCBI's taxonomy places the organism in Eukaryota, Viridiplantae, Streptophyta, Magnoliopsida, Solanales, Solanaceae. The transcript is spliced from 3 exons. The record is from RefSeq and is a predicted model, not a curated record.